AAAUUGAAGAGUUUGAUCAUGGCUCAGAUUGAACGCUGGCGGCAGGCCUAACACAUGCAAGUCGAACGGUAACAGGAAGCAGCUUGCUGCUUCGCUGACGAGUGGCGGACGGGUGAGUAAUGUCUGGGAAACUGCCUGAUGGAGGGGGAUAACUACUGGAAACGGUAGCUAAUACCGCAUAAUGUCGCAAGACCAAAGAGGGGGACCUUCGGGCCUC
This 217-nucleotide ribosomal RNA is filed under the name Escherichia coli. Its description in RNAcentral is "partial 16S ribosomal RNA". It matches the Rfam family "Bacterial small subunit ribosomal RNA", at positions 1 to 216 of the family's 1533-position model. RNAcentral also lists the same sequence under 1 other name. The record is from RNAcentral. Lineage: Bacteria; Pseudomonadati; Pseudomonadota; Gammaproteobacteria; Enterobacterales; Enterobacteriaceae.